AGGACCUUAUCUGAUAGCCAUAUAUGGGAAGUAAGUGUUCUGAGCUCCAAGUGCUGAGGUACAAGGGAGAGUAGUGCAAGCUUUCUAGUCCUGGGUGGAAUCUUGGCAGUUGUUUGGUACCCUUCCCUGGACAGUCUCUAAAAGAGGGUGGUGGCAACUGCAGUAACUUGUGAAGAGCUUAAUGCAGAAUGAAAUGCUGCAUAACUUUCAGCUGGCGGAAAUAAUCAAGGAUUGUAGCUAAUGGGUUUCUAUCAGGCCUUGCCAAAACAGGUGCUUCAGGGCAUGCGCAAAGACCUGCAGAGCUAAGGGAUUGGUAUCUUUAGGUUUCUUCUGUAUACUAUUGUUUCCACAUGGAUGUCAGUUAACACCUGUCUUGCACCAGAUUUAAAUAGGAAUGUUGGAAUCAUUACAGGAAUUCUGGCUUCCAUUUAGUCUCCAGUCUAGUAAAUGAAGUAAGGCAUCGUGUUUUCCUGGUAAAUAAAAGAUUACAUUCUUCAGUUGUGCUCAGAGGACUAAACAGAAUCCUUUCCAUCGCAGAUGUUUCCUUUAACUUGCAAUAAUGCUCUACUUCACAAAACUAAAACAAAAAAAAACCCUAGCAGGUUGGAUACUGGAUAACUUUUGUACAGUAAUCCCAAUCUUCUUUUUAAGGGAGGUGGAUAAUACAUUCAAGUGACCUUGUUGCCUGGGUUCUAAGAUAAGGAAGGUUUUUCAUGCUGAGGUAGUUAAGUAGUAUCUGAGGAAACAGGCAGUUUUAACUCUUCAUAGCAGACCUCUUCUGCAGUGGAGUUGAAUUUAUUCAUAGUUUAUAGCUGUUCUUCGUAGGUGGUGUUAUUUUCAACAUCUGGGAUAGUUUACAUUUUCUCAGAGCCACAGAAGGCUAUAAAGCUCUCCUGCCUAAUUCCUUGGCCAGUUAUUCCAAUCCAGUGGAGGCAGCCAUUGGAACUCUUCAUUUUUUGAUGUUUUCUAAUUGCUACAACACAAGCUCUAAUGCUCCAUAAAGCAGUUGUCAGAAUGCUUUAAGCCUGGAGUUGACGUGCAUCAUCUUCAUCUUGCAUUUGUCUCAUUUUCAUUAAAACAGCAAAGAAGAAUGCUUGUUAGAUCUAAAUCGUGUGCUGCUUUUUGAUUGUUUCCAUUCAAAUAACAAAGGAAAGACAGUUCUUUGACUACUUGGAUCCUUCUUUGUGUUGGUAAGGACUUGGUGCUAAGUAAAUUAUGUCAUUCAUGUAUUCUGCACACCCUGCAGCAUUUGGCUGGCCUGUGACAGAACACCUCUUACUUUAAAAAUACACAGAUCAGUUAGUAAAUACAGCAUGCUUGCACUGGAGGUCUCCAAUGCAUACUGUGGCAAGUACCAGAGAAACUGGUUUUGUUACUGGAAGGAAAACAUACUGUGUGAGAAGACCAGCUGUGAGAGAUGAACUGUGGCUUGGAAGCUGAAUCUCUAUGUGCUCUUUCUUGCAGAUGUAUUGGACCUUGGUCAAGUAAUAUCUCCUCGUUGUAUCAGAAAUAUUAAUCUAUAGAAGCACUGUCAGGAGCUUUGUGCUGCUGCGUUCAUCGCUGUUUAAAAAUGUCUUAAAAUAGUUGUUUCUUUUUCUGUCCUAAAGUCAUUUUUUUAAACAGACACAUUAAAGUUGCCUUAUCAAAGUAUGAGAACUUUGUGUGUGGAAGAACUUGUCAAAUGUGUAGAAGUUAUAUGUGGGUUUAUAAUGAAAUCUGCUACGCAUGUCUGACCUUUUAUUUCUGUUCAAAUAUGUAAGGAAGCUCUCAUUUACCACUGAAAUGCAGCUCUGUAACAGCUGAAAAACAUCACUGAAGACAAAGGCAUUUCAUAUCCAGCUAAAUUACAGAGAACAUUGUCAUGCAAAGCAAAAUUAUGAGUUCUGAGACCUAACUAGAGAAGGUGAUUUUCUUUUUUCCAAGAAGUCCUAAAUGUUUCUGUGCAGUAACCUGCCCAGCAUGCUGACUCUUUUUCAUCGUACAGCCUGUAGCCACAGUUCUUAUCUUUUGCUGAUGGAUCUUAAAGUUUCCCAGAUGUGGGAUGCGUCUACUGGGUCCUGGCACUUUUCCAUGUAGAAAUGUGCAUGCCUCGAGGACGGAACGUCAGGCCAAACCCAUGGUGACAGUGAUAUCUCUGGGACACCUAAGCCAGCUGAAGAGGAGCACUGUGGAUUCUAUCAUCAGGUCGGAGCCGUAUUCCAAAAUUAUCUGAAGAUGAAAUAAACCAGUUUCUCUCGGAUGGAUCUUGAUCUCAGCAGGUAAAAAGUAAUCAGUGAAAGCACAAUAAUGGUUUUGGAGCCUCUGGAACAAAUUUUGUUGGCUUUUCUCGAUAUGUAUUUUGAAUGACACACAAAGUUGUUUUGCUCUGAACUUAAGCAAGAAGUAGCCAGAAACUUAGGGUGCUCAUGCUUGCUCCAAAGUAAGCUCAACUAACUGGUAUCUAAGCAACAGUUCAGAAUGCAACACCUACACUCUUAUGACUUCAUAGGUUUUCCCCUAACAAAUUUGCAUUCUGCUCUGUGAUGCGCAAAGUGUAGCCAAGCAAGCUUCUGACAGGUGUUCUGUCUUGCAUGUAGGAUCUGUUGACAGAAGAAUAUAAGAAUAUUCUUGGUUUCUUUUUAAACAGUGUGUGCUUCUUGCUGAUGCUCUGGGAUGGGAGGAAGGGUGUCCACACACAGACACUUGAAGCAAACAGAAGGAAUGCUAAGAGGAUACAGUCUUCACCUUGCUUCAGAAAUAACAUUUUAGUUUACAACAUUUUUUAAUGUGCUUUUGUUCACCUUGCAGAGAUACAACUAAGAGCAGUCACUUUCACUACUGUUUCAUCCCUCUAUUUUUCCUGCCCUUCUGAUCUGUGCAUCUGUUUCUGUUAGUAAAACAGCUUGCUGCUUACCUUCCCUUGGCCAACAGUAAAAGUGAAUUUGCAGCAGUUGUGUAUACUAAAACACGAGCUAGUAUUGUACCAUCUCUACACUGCUCAAGAUGCUGCAGUUCUGUCUGCUCUCACCCAGUACUCUUCGCUGUAUUACUUGCUUGCUCAAAUGUAGAUAUUUGUCAGAUCUUAAUGUUCUUCUGUCAUGGUUUAAGACUUCCAAGUCUUAACACUGAUAUGGUAUGAAACAAGAACUAUUUCUUCACUGCAGGAAAUCUAGCAGGUAAUUUUGCACAAUGUAGCUGAACUUUUUUAUAUCAUAAAGUGUUGUGAUGAUCAGGCUCGAAGAGACUAAUGUUCCCUACAAGCUUACACUUAAGCUACCAACUGCAGAGGGGUUUGCCCCAAAUCCCUUUCCAAGUAGGCAGUUCCUGCUGAGCUACCUACAAUAGUGGGGGGGUGACUUCCAUGGUAGUUUGAAGGUUAUGUGAGCCUUACUAUGGAGAGGAUACUGGUAGAAAGAAAGAUUAUACAUAUGGACUGAUGUGCUUAGUACUUAAAAAAUAAUCUUUAUUAUAACUUAAAUGUGAUAGGAAAUAAAUGCCACAAAACUAAAGGGGGAGGGGAAAAAAAAAAGCAGAGGUCAGUACAAAAGAACACCUUGAAAGAACUCAGCUGAUGGGACAGGUGUGGUACAAAAACCAGAACAUGGUUACUCCACCUUCUGUAUAAAGAGUCUAUGUCCCUCAGUAAACAAGUAAGCAUUUUGAACUGUACAAAAUGUACCUUUUUAAUUGAAGGAAGAAUAUAUAUAUUUAUAAAUAUACAGAUAUGUACAUUGUUGUAACAUUCACGAUAAAAAAAAAAAACCAACCCCGACAAAAACCAAAACAACUUCUGCCUGCCAAUGUGUUUGGCGCUCAAGGCUUCCUUUUGAUGUGGAUUGUUUGCAAUCUUUUCUAUGUAGUCUAUGCAAAUUCGGAUACUAUAAUUGACACCUAAAUAUCAUUUCAUGCAUAAUGAACACAGUACAGGAACACUCUUCUGUUAAAUUCUGUUCACCUCCUCUGUUAUCUUCAGGCUCAUAAUCAACAGCUUGAAGCACUGUCUUUCAUUCUUGCAGUGGGGGAGUGAAUGCGUUCACUUCACACUGUUUAUUACUGCCUCCAAGGUCUGCUUUAGUUUGUUUCAGUUCUUUAUUGAAAUCAUUCUAUGGAAGCUAUCCUCCACUAAUUAGAGUGUAUGAAAUCCAAUCCUGCUUGCAACUUGCAGGACAGAAUGGCUUUGGGGACUCGUGUAAUUAGCUGUAUUCAUCACUACUUCUUGGAAUAAAUAAAUGCGCUUUACCUUUUCAUUUAGUUUUUCAAAACCUACGUGGUUCUUUGAUCCCCCUCAUGAAUCUCCGGAUUAAUGAGGGUUCAUUGCUGGAGGCUGAGAGAAAGGAAAUAAAAGAGCAGUAGAGGCAUUCAGAAUGAGUCACUGAAGUGACACCUCCUGGGGCUUGCAUCGUGCUGCUUCUGGAGGCAAAACUUGAAGAAACUCACUCUGUAUUUCAUUACUGAGACAGCACCGUGGUGUCCUGGGCUGCUGGAGUGGUUCUGGAAACGCUGCGAGGCAACGGGCACUUGGUUCAGCAUUGGAGAGAAAGCUGCUUUGUGGUUGUGCUCGAGUAGCCUCCUACUCAUCCACUUCAGGUACACAUCACGUGUCUAAAGUUUUCAUGACCAUUUCAAGGAAGUAAAUGUAAUUAAUGCUCGGUAAAAUAGACAAAGAUGCCAUACUCUAAAAACUCACAGGAGUUUGCUGAGGCCGAGUAACUGCAAUUGCAUUACUUAGUACAAAGCAGUCAAGAAAGUAUUGUUCCUCAGCCUCAUCUGGCUGUUCCAUCAUAAGCUGCAGAGAGGAGCCAAUAGGAACUCUUUAGCCAUGUUUAGAUUUUGCUUUUCCUUUAAAAUGUUGCUGAAUUGCUACGUUUUGGGACACUGCUUCAAAGUCUUCAUUCUACUUCCCAUGCUUAAUGGCAGCUCCAUCCUCCUUUUGUGGCUGUUCCACUUAGGCAGGUUCUCUUCCUAGAAAGCUGUGGCAGAUUCGGUUCCAUGGCGACUCCCAACUCUGACAAAUUCCCGAGGGAAUUUAUCCAGCUGCUCGUAGGCCAGUCUCCCAUCUUCACCUGAACACAACAUGUUAAAGCAUCAUAGCAUCAUGUACCAUUACCAUACAACCUUUCAACCAUUGGAUUCUCUGCUAUUAGAAGGUUACCGGUAACUUCAGAAAUUACUUGGAAAUUUAAGUGUGCUUGUCUGACUAACUUAAGGAUUACUUGGAAAAAAAAGGUUCCAACUAUUUCUUAAUUUGCCCUUGUGGGUUGCUGGUUUUAUUUAGAGCAGAACAGUAGCAGCUGUGGCUUGUGUGGCUAGAUGACAGUAUCUGUACAACUGUCUUACUUAAAUGACCUGCAGUGCUCCGUGUCUCAGCUGCAGCUGUAAUAUACUUGAAGCAAAUGAUUAUCCAUUUCUAAUUUAGGCAUUUUCACCCACUUCUUGCUUUCUGGCACUCUUAAGAAGUGAGUCUAACCACAUCGUGAGUUCACCGUUAGCAAUCAAAAAAGGUCUCUGUACGUCAUCUAGAAGAAUGGUACCAUCUCCCAGAGUUGACACAAGUGACAUAGGGUUAAAUGUUUCAGAAUCUGAGCAACAACAUGUUGGCAGCAAAGUGAGUUCCUGCUAAAUUGGUAACUGAAGAGUGUGUGUUUGAUGAAUUUGCAUAAGUAAAAUUAGAAAUGGAUGUAUACUCAUGAGGAAAACUCAUGAGUUUUCCUUAGAGUUGAGGAUGGACCAGGAAAAUACAGCUUUGUUGUUUUUUUUUCAAUACUGGAGCAGUGCCACUUAAGUACUGGGGUCCCGAAACUGUGCAGCCACAGUUGUAGUCACACUGGUACACAGCUAGAUUACAGGUUAAUGAGCAGGGUGGCUGUUGUCCCAGGGAAAAAUGAAGGUCUCUGCAAGGUGCCCGGGGUUCUGUGUGAAGGAGCUGUUGCAGGUUAGGAUCUGUCCCAGUAAGCAUAUGGAGAUCAUUCAGCUCAAAUGAAAGCUUGGUGGUGCUAAUGGCACUUGCAAGUGGGAUUUGUUUCAGUAAGCUGUUUAGGUAGCUAGGAAGUGCAGGGUACAGUGACAGCAGAGGAUGCCCAGGAGGACAGGGUGUGGUAUGUUGCAGAAGGGGAGCUGGUCCUGCCUCCUCAAGGAUGAGAGGUUACGCUCCAUAGGAGAAGCAGAACACAAAUGCUGUUCUUCUACAUAACUUUAAUAAAAGGUGUUGUACUGAAUGCCUACACUUGUUUUUCAAGCAUAAAGUUAUUAUGAAGUAGAUCUCUUUUGUCAACUUUUCCUUUGCUAUUUUUCCCUUUCUGCUCCCCCCCCCAAACUCAGAUAGUUCAAUUUCUCUCUUUUUGGUCCAUUUUUCAUGAUUUUCAGAAUGAAUAAUUUUGAAGAACAUAUGCUUUUAACCUGUUCUUGCGUAAUUCAGAUGUUUUACGUGUACUUCUGUUCAAAAAGAAAACAAAAUGCUGCUGUAAAGCAGGCAACUCACCAAGUGAGAGCAGAGUUUCAGAGGCUACUUUUCUAAUCUCUUCAUUGUCAGACUGGCAGAGCGUGACCAGCAUUUUAAUACUCUCAGUAGCCUGGAAAAUAGAAAAAAGAAUCGUAUUAACACUACCUAUUAUGGUUUAAUUUCAGAACAUCCUAUGGGAGUAUUUACCACCCUCUGUGUUUCCUUUCCCAUUCACUAUGCAGAUGGAAAUGCCAUCUUGUGUCCUUGGUCUCGUCUUAAAAGGGUUCACAAACCAAACUGCGUGACAACGUGCACACCCCUCUGCCCUGCCUCUCUUCAUGCAGGAUGAGAAGGGCUCCUGCUCCACUAGCUUUGGCCAGGAGGUUGUGCAGGGGAAGCUGCUGGAGCACCCAGCUCACCUUUCCUCAGCACUAAGAUGAGAAACCCCAUGUCUCAAGCUUCAUGUGGGAGAAACUAUCACUCUGCUGUAGGUCUAUUGCAUGGAGUAUAUAUUUUUUUGCUGUGUCCAGUACCAGUUGAGUUAGCAAGCAACUGUUUUUCCUUUCUUUUAUGGGAAGUAGUGCAGAAGUGGUACCGGAGGUGAGCUGAUAACGUAGCGUGGCCUAAACUUCCUCUUACAGUCUCUCUGUGCAGUGUCACAAUUGAGCUAUGUAUCUCUUCUCCCGCUACAAUCUGCAUGCGUUAUAGCUAGUUUUAUCCUAGAAAAGGAUUAUUUUCUUCCUCUCCUUCAAAACAAAGCUUCUAAACUGUUCCCAAACAAGGAAGCUGUAAAGCGAUGUGCAGCAAUGCAAAACAAAAGCAGUACUGCUGCUAUUACAAUUUCUAUUUUGCAUUCUCACCUCUCAGAUGUCCUUUCUUUAAAGUAACGCCAAGCACCACAACUAAACUCCUUGUCUCUUACCUUGAGGUAUCUUAGAGCCAGGCAGGCUGCUUUCUGCAGCUGGAGGUUGGGCUGGGUUAGGGCUUCACAGUAAUAAAUCAAGGCCUGGAAAAAGAUAAAGAGGAGUAGCCAUGAAAAUGUCUGUGACUGUGUGGAGCAGCAGGCUAGAGAGUGGAGUCUGUCACGAAUGGCUGGAAGUCAACCCCUAAUUUCUUCUCAUUCCUUUUCUCUCAUCUCUUUAAUGUCUGUGUUUAAGAUGGUCCUAUUUCCUGCCUUCAUCAUCUGUGCUAGACUCACAUCUGAGGUGGGAGAUCUCAGUUGCCAGCUUCCUUUGGGAAAAAAAAUGCGACCUACAUCUUCGUGUGUUGAUGAUGCUGGGGACUUGCCUUCAAGCCAGGUUUAAGCAGGAGGUACCUGUUUCUGCAAGCCCUGGACAUUCCUCAUUCACAGUGGCAGCAAAAUUGAUAUCCAGCUGCUUCAUCAUCUUGUCUGCAGUCGUGUGAUAAACUCCCGAAGGACCAGUACACUUCAUCCAGAAAGCCAGCAGCGACAGCUUCUUGUGGAACUCUGGGAUUGCUGAGGGAGAAGACAAAAUGAAAGGUGAAACAAAGUUGUGCUCAGUGCGUUGUCUUCCUAAAGGGAAAUGUGAUAGGUGUGGAGGACAUCCACUCCAUCUCGCUGACGGAAGGUAGGUCACCCUGUGUCACUACCUUCACAGAGGUGGUCACGUGCUGACCCCAAGUUUGUGAUGUGUUGUUUCUGUUUCCCAAAAGAUGUGAGAAAAUCUGCUCCCGAUCCAGUUCUGGACACUGAUGUCUCAUCUCUUUGAAUACCAUGAAUUACUAGGGGAAAUACUAGGGGAAAUGAAUGGUCUGCAUGAGACUGGUCCUUGUCCAAGCACUGCUCUGUAGCCUUGGGUAAGUUACUCCAUUUUGGGAUAAACUGUUUGAGGAGUUGUAUUAUGACUCCUGUAGCAUAAGGCAGAUCUUGGCUUUCCUCAGGAAAGAGGUGGAGGACAAGUUUGACUGCAGAAGUGGCAGCAUCCCCACCCCGUUCCUGCAGCUACCCCUGCCCACCUUCUGCAUGUCAAGCAGGAUAAGGAUCAGUACAGCCCUUUCUUUCCUCACCUGCUUAUUUCUGAAUAGCAGUACUUAAGACAGAAUAAGGUGAGGCUGGAUAAGGCCUGGGCAACCUGAUCUAGCUGUGGUGUCCCUGUUCGUUGCAGGGGAGCUGGACUAGAUGGCCCUCCCUUGGAAGGGAGAUAGAUCCCUUCCAACUCUAAGGAUUCUACGAUGCUAUGAAUAAGGUUCCUGACCAACUUCAGCGACUGCUACAUCCAUUUGUGAGUUAUCUCCUGCUAUGGUGGCACUCCCUGCAGUCACGGUGGUUAUUUCAGCAGGCCCGCUGCCCAAACCAGCCCUUUUCAGAAGGAAGACCCCUAAUGUGUCUCUUACCAUCGGUAAGGGAGGUGAUGCUUCCCAAGUUCUCGGUGCUGAUCUCUGCAAUAUUCUCCAUUACAAGAGUCUGCCUGGACAGCUUAUCAAGGAGGUCUCUUGUCACAAAUGGUGUUUUACCGGAGAAGACAAUUUGCUAAUGGAGACAAGAUGGAAAGGAAGAAAAGGAGUCAUUUUGAAACCUCAAAACAAAACUUAAACCUCUGAAACACCUGGCACCUGAAGAAAUGAGAUGGCAAAUUCUUUGCCUGGAAUUAUCAAAUAUUUCUUGUUGCUCUGCUUUGUUUUGGCUCCGAUCCCCUGCCCAGCUGCCUGUGUUUGGUGCUUUCCCAUGGCCAAUACGCCCUGCUGCUGACAUCUGCAUUUCCUUCAGCAGUCCAACAUCAUUCAUAUCAAACCUGGACAGAGUUCAAGCCUGCCUCCCUCAGCUGCAUAUUUACUGUGAGCUCUUGUAUAUGAGCCAAAAACUCCCUUUUUCUCAUACUCGUGAGUCAGCGGAGUGUCCAGCUCAGUGCUAAGGGUACUGGAAUUAGGGUUGUUCUGCAUUGCCCCAGUGGGCUUCUGGGAAAAAAUGCUGAUUAUAUCUGAAGUUGAAGAGUCCGCUCCAAAAUGCUGUGACCGUUGUGGUGGGGGUGAAGAAUACCAGGAGGUGAGGCUCCCACUGCCACCACAGCCAUCCCAGCACUCGCUGGCCUUGCCAAACCAUUUACACCCACAAAAAUGUAAAAAUAUAAUGCAGAAAUGAGCCGGGCUCGGUACCUGGAUGAGCUGUGUGCAGUACUGCAAGUGCUUAACUAUGGUUAUAUCGAGGCUGUCGCUUCCUGUGGUCAGGGGAAGAGGGCUGCCAGCAACGCUGGUGCCGACCCCUGUGUCCUCGGUCAGGGCUUCGCUGAGGUGGCCCCUGGCUUCGGGGUGCUCAGUCCUGUAACUGCAGAGGGAGGAGGAGGUCAGUGUGGGGCUGUGGCUGCCCGGGCAGACAGACACACGCUCACUCAGAGAUGGGCAACGAGCACGGAGCAGAGCUGAAAGCAGCGCCCUGGGACCACAUAGCCCUCAGAAAGCCAGAAACAUGGUGAUGAAGACAUCAUGUCACACGUGAGCAGUGGUACGUGAAGCAUGGUAGGGACAGGCCUUGAACAACGUGGUGUCUGCACCAGCAAGUGUCUGUAACCUUGCUGUCACAUAGAGGCACAAACAUUGGGAGUAAACACCCAUUUCUCAGUAAAUCAUCUCCCGUGUUAGUCCAGAAGAAGCAGCGUUACAGUUUGUGUCAUCUCAAGUACUGAGCUGCUGAGAGCAGAUGUAGGCUAUCAGCAUCUUCCUCGUGCCAAAUUUAGUGGUCAUUGCAGAAAGAAAGGAAAACCACUGCUGGAAUAAGGGACAUGAUAUUUUCAUAGGCUGUUUUAGGCACACUGUGUACAGCUUAGUUUGCCAGUAGUUUCUGUAAGAGCAUAAAGCUGUUCUCGCUGUGUUUUAAAUCAUUAUUUCCAACUUCGUCUUGUACAAAUGGUCCUCCCUGCGUUUAAAUACAAAGCCCAAGGUCGGUCCCCAGGCUGCAAGUGUGCUUGGCUGCAGGUCUAGGAGCGUCAGCGCCUGCGAUCCUUACACUGAGUCACACGCAGCUAAAAGUGGAAGCUGGAAUCCACGCCGUCUGGGAUGAGCCCAGGGGGAAAAAUGAGAUUUUAACUUCUACUUCGAGAUUCCAGUUGGGUUCCAAGUUAGUUUGCAACUAACCUCAAUUUCUUCUGCUUAAGUUAAAAUCAUGCUGAAGUGCCUGCCCAAAGCCAAAUCUUUAAAUCAAUGACCUAAGCUCAGAAUACCCAAUUUCCUGAGAUUUUCUUCCCACCAUAUCUCUGAGCGGGAAGAGACAACGCAGUGAAAUGAUGGGAACUGAACGUCUGUUGCUUGUUUGCACUCAGAAUUGCUUUGAACCCGCCACGAUAAGAUGUGAGAAGCAGAGCUGUCCCGUUGGAAAGCACGGGGGCUGAGGGAGCUGAGCUCUGCUUUUUCUUUUUUGCCUGCUCUAGUGCCACACAUGGGCAGUGCUAAGGAAGCCGGUGUGCUUUUAGGAUCUAAUGAUCGAAACACAGCAUCUUACGGUCACACAACAAUGGCAAACCACAACACAAAACAACACAGCUCUUUUUUUUUUUCUCUUUCUUUUUUUUCCCUCCAGAAGACCAGAAGUGAUGAAAGAAAGGCAGGUAACACGCAGGGCCAUGGACAGAGUACCAGUCAUCACUCUUACAUUCCAAAGGAAACCUACACCAUGCUGCUUAAAUCUGGCCCUGUGUUAUUGUUAUUGACAAGCUUAAUCCACUGCAAAGACUCAUUCGGCUAGAGAGAAAAGACAAAGGGAGGGGGGGAAAAACCACAGAGGAGUUAGUAAUUACAUCCAAGGAAAGCCAGGUCCAAACCUAUGUCAAGGAAGAGGCUCUGCCAGUAUCGAUGACAGCUUAAUUUAAUUUACCCAUCUCUUUUAGGGGGGGCAGAUUGUGCAUAUUUGAACAGGGAAAAGAUUAUCCUGGAAGCUAAAGAUUUGGUACGCAGCAGCCACCGGAAGCCCUCUGACCCUAUAAACUCCUCCAGGAUUUGUCAGUCUUCCUUGAAUAACGUGUGCACCGGGAUCCUCUGUUAGCAACAAAGAGCUGGGGGAAUCAGUUUGGCUUAAGCACAGCUGGCAGUUGCUCCAAACUUACCUAUUCUUCUCAACCUCAGUAUCUGAAAAUACUGAGUCUGCACCUCCUCCACCAUUACAAACCUCCUCACCACCACCAUCCUCAUCAUCAAAGUCAGAGGUGUUCAGGAAAUCAAAGCUUUCUAAAGCACUUUCAACUGUUAGACUUAAACUGGAGGACCUGCUUCGGCUUACUGCUGGCUUGCACUGCAAAGGCAGAACGAACCAAUGAAAACCCCAGAUAUUAGCUACUACUGAAAGAAAAACAUAGAGGAUAAAGCUUAAAAUUUUCAAAUUCUUCAUUUUAUUUAUGAUACUUCAUUUUAUUGGGUACUUCAUUUCAAACCUUCAUAUUCAUAGCAUACACAAUCAAAGCCUGGGAACUGGGAAAUCCUUCCCAUCCUCCUCCCCUCCCCAUCCUACCUCCUCUUUUCCCCAAAGAGAAGACCUGCAAAGGCAAAAAUCAGCAUGUUUUAUAGAAAGGACAUCCCAAGUCCAAGUGACGCAGCUUUCAGCAUCCUCCAAAAGGAGAGAUGGUAAUUAGAACACUGGAAUUUGAAAGAGAAAGGCACACUGUAUAAAGGCUGUUAGAGGUACAGAAGCAGAUUUAUAUGUAAAUAUAUAUACAGUGACACUACCGAAUGUAUUCCAGGUAUAACUCCAAUGAAGCUAAGCCAUACUGGUCCCACAUUUGCAGAUGUAUACAUGUGAUGGACGAGAGAGGACUUCUGUGGUCUUUCAAGCCACAUUGCUUAUGAAGGAAAAGCUAAUCAUGCAUCAAUUUCCUAGGUGACAGAAAAAGGUAGCAUUCUAACCUGUAAACCAACAGUGUCUAGAGAGGGAGGAAGUCAUCCUAUCUCACUGCUGGGAUGAAAUAUCACCAAGGCUUUGCGGGUGCUGCAGGAAGUACCAAAGCCCUGGUUACACGUGGUGGUUCAUCCAGGUGUGCCCACAGACUUGAUGCCAAGGUUACUUUGCCAGAGCAAAUGAUGAUCAGCAGCUGGAGUUGUGUGAGGACUUCUGCACCUCAUGCCCUGCAUGACCACUGAUGUACACUGCAGGUACAAAGCUGCAUCUUCCAGUCCUAAGUAGGAACUAGGACUCUGUUUCAGCUUGUAAAAGGAAACAAGCUGGCCUCCGAGUUUGGCCUUGGCUCCUCUAGAUCUGUCAAGGCUUUGAGUUUCGCUUCUAGUUCGUUUGCACAAAUUGUAUGUUAGCAUUCAUGAUGCUUGUCACCUUGAACCGACAGCACAGUCUUCCACUGUUCAAACACAGUCCACAACACCUCCACAGGGCUGUGUCAUGCUUCUGCGGCACAGAUGGCUUUAGCUGCCACGUCUUUCGAGUCUGGUAGUGCGGCUUCUUCAGGCAAGAGCAACAGCAACAUGUGGGUUUUGUGUUUCUCUGACCAUCUGACAUGGCCAAGAGAGCUUUCUUCAGCCACAGCUCGAUUCCAGCUCAGCCUUCUGAGCCCAGCACAGCCACUGCAGAUGCUGUACAUCCACCUGCAAGCUGGUCAAUAGCCACAUGCAGAUGGAAAGUAGGUCUGGGAGAAGCAGCCAUCCCCAGUGUGCAGGGUUCCUGUCUGCACAUCUGUCCUCUCUUCCACUAUCCCAUGCCUGUCCCUUUGUGGCUUCUGAUAAAAGGAACGUGAAUGAGCAGUCACCAUUGUCCCUCUGUUGCUUGGACGCUCAACUUCAUGGCAGAGCAGCCAUGAAGUUGAAAAUUAACAGCAACGGUAGCUUUGCCUGCUUGAAAUACUGGGGAAAUAGUACGAAAAUCAGGGGCUGCAGACUGUCAAAGAAAACCCCACUUUACUUGGAGAAAUACCAUGCAGCUGCAUACACCAAUGGAAACAAAGAUGAUAACAAAGCUGUGGGCUUUUUUUUUUUUGUAAAAAGAUGAAUGCUUCCCUCCUUCCUUCUCAGCCUUGUUUUUAAAGGAUGAGAUUCAAAUGACUAUCAGACCAACUUGCAUAUGAAUAUGAAGCAUUUGAAAUGAUUAUUUCCCAUGUGAUACUAUUUGCACAGUAACACGUCACAAGUUAUUAUUCACAGGGGAGAUAUGAGUCACAGUGAUCAGCAGGCAACAUAUUAACAACACACAUACAAAAUUCAUUACUUCUUUCCGAUCUUCAAUGUGUUUGGUUCAUCCUGGUGUAAAGACAGGAUGUCUUCUUUUAGAAAAUGCACGGGGGAAAAAGGGGAAAGGCUUGGGAAAAAAACAAGGAAGGAAUGGCAACCUUCAGUAGGAUCUGUGCUUCAAAAUCACUUUGGCAGUUUAGAAAAUUCAGCUGCCAUGCCUACAAGGCCUGAUCCUCAGCUGGUGUAGUUUUGCAGAGCUCUAUGUGGUUCAGUGCCAAAGUACACCCACCAAGGAUGCGGCCUCUGAGUUUUAAAGGCAGAAGAUUGGCUAUAAUCUGAUCUCCAGUAUGGCACAACUAGCAGGCUCUCAAGUGGCUUCUGCAGAGAAAGGCGUAAUGUAAUUACCCCUCUGCCAUUGUACCUUUUUCUCUUUCCCCCAAGGUUAGAGUAGAUUAAAGGAUCCGUUGCUUUGGCAUACAAGGCUACCACCAGCACACUGCAGACGCAAGUUUAAAAAUACAACACUGUGAAAGGGUGCUCCAACAGGAGCAAAUCUGUUAAGUGAUCUCUGAUUUGAUGUUUGCGAGGAACAGGAAGAGAUUCUACUCGCUCAGAUAUCCUUUAGUGUAGUACUUUCCGAAAAUGUACUCACUUUUAGGAUGUCAUCCAGAUGCAUCACUUCCUGGUCCAGGUCCUGAAACUCUUUGUACUGCUCUUUAUGCGGCUCAAGAGCUAAGAGAAGCCCUUGCAAGGCUUCCUCAAUGCUUCCAUCGAGAUAAGACUUGUAGCCUUCUGAUUCCCCACUGAUGGACCCCUCACAAGGCAACCUCUCUGGGGUCCCAGGCACCUCGGCAGAUGUCAACCUUUUCACCAGCUGCUUGGUGAUGUUGCCCUCAUAGGUGUCCAGCUCCACCGGCUUCAGCUCAGAACCUUCAUCCGUGUCUUGCAGAAGAGACACCGGGACGUUUGCCUCUAUGAAGACACGAUCACUCCCAGCAUUGGAGGGCUUUUGGCAAACUUCAGAACGUGCCCUGGGGGUGACCUUGUUCCCGGUCACCACUGCCUCUCCCGGGGAUGGCAGGUCCUUGGGCUCAGGGACGGCGUCUCCGCAGGAGUCACUGCUGCUGCAGUCUGGGCUCGAGCUCUCGGACGACUUGAGAGCUCGGUGCUGGGUAGCAGCGGUGGUGAUAUCGGGGCUGGAGCUGACGUGAGCAGAGGAGGGCUCUGCUGGGUUGGCAGGGGGCACGCGGUCUUCAUAAGGCAGGUCGCCAAAAGUGAAGGAAAGAGGCCGUUUCUCAGUGGCUGCCGUUCCAUUUUCAAAGACAUCAUCUGGCAAGUUUGACUGAAAAGAUAAUUGAGAGAGAAAAUGUCUUUCAUGUCUCAUUGGAAAGAAAAAAAAAUCAUCUAUGUGUCUGGGAAAGACAAAUGCAAGGAGUAAGAUUAGAGAAGCAGUCAAGACUUGAGAAAUGGAAAAAUCACUCGAAAUCCAAUUUGUGCUUUCAUCUGGGACAACUCCUGACUCCAGCAGGAUUCUGCUGGGAACUCCAGGUUCAACAUCUCUUUGGGGUAAGCCAAGAGCUCUGGUAAGCAUGUCCCAUAGCAGCCCUAAGCACCGCUUGUCUAAGCAAAUUGACUCCGACACCACUUCCAUUGCACUUCCCACAAGAAGUGGGGCAAUGUCCUUCUUGGUGGGCUGCACUUAAGUUAUCUUGGCUACAUUUUCACAUUCUUAGAGAUUUCUGUCGUAUUUUUUUCCUGACUUCUAAAUUAGCAAUCCCUAAACUGUACAACAGUCUGCUCCAAAAGUUUCUCCACUGUCACAUCAUUUUAAUGGGGAUAUGACCCUGCUAUCAGGUUUGAAGCAUCACAGAGCUGUAGUACAAAUCCUAUUAUCUUACACAAUUUUCAGAACAGAAAGAAAGGCAAAAAGCAGUAAGAAGGGGAAGUACAAAAACCUGCCUGGAGCCAGAAUGUAAUAAAUCAAAGCCUGAAAUUUCACACUGAUGGACUCCGAAGCAAAUUUUAGCCUUCAUUACAUGGCAAACUCAUGCAAAAGCACAGCACAGAUGAAUGACAACUAGUAUUUUGCUGACAAUUUGCUGGAAGGAACUAUAAGCACUCACAUGUUGGCAAGGCACUUAGAGUUAAAAUGUCCAAAAUUUGCAUCAUUUUCCCAGCAGCUUUUUUCCCUAAACAUAACGAUACUCUACGAUUUAUUUCUUCUUUCCCCUCACAGGAGUACGCUUUCAACCUCUCCUUUACUGCUGAAAGUCAAGUCACUCAGCAAAUGUAUAACAUCAGUCAGUAUGACACACCAUUUUUAAUAAUGCCAUUUUUAAGAAUACCAUAUUGGCUUGUGCUCCUGCCCUGCACUCCCCCCUCAGAUCAUUAUCCCUGUAGAAACCAAGGCUAACUUUGCUAUACCGCAAGCAGCAUGGGCUCACACUCACACUCUCCCCCCGUCAGCAGUCAGCAAAAUAAGCAAGUUGCACCAGAGAGCAGCAAACGAAGCAUGCAUGGGAACAGAGAUGCCACAUGGGCCCUGAUAGACUCCUUCAGCACACAAAUACCAGGACUCACAUAUAGCUCUAGCCCUGCUUUGGGGCUUAGCCUGAGCGAUGGCAGAUCACUAAAAGAGCGACUGCGCCGAAGCUUGUCAAAGAAAGUGUCUUGCAGAGCAUCUAAGAUUGCCAACCUUGGCCUGUCUUGCAGGGGAUGCAGCCAUUUCUUCAACAGUUAAAAGCAAACAUGGUGAGGAGGGCAGGUUAACUGAAUGCUUUGUAGCAGAGUAUUUAAAUUAAAGGCAUAGGAUGUAGCACUUGUAAAAUUCACAUCUCUACAGAUGGCUUAUUCAGCUUAAUAUACAGUCCUUAUAAAGCAUUCAGAAUUAGUUUCACGCAAAAUCUAAGAGCACCUUACGGACCUCUUUUUCACCAGGGGACACAUUAAAAAUCCCACUGCUGCAAUGGCUGUUUAACCACUGCUAUGGGAAGAACAGACAUUUUAUAAGGACUACUGAAGUAACACAGCAGUCAUGCGAGAAGAAUAGUUACAUGGUAGUUGGCCAUACAGCAUGCCAGGACCACCGUCACCUUCUUUGAGGAUUAGCAGCUAGAAAUGCAUUUGCUUUUUAAGUAUUUGUGAGGGUAACUUGCUGACACCAGGGAAAAAGGCCUAGAUGUGGAAAGCAACGAAGCGUUUGCAGUGUUUGAACUGCGCUAGGGUUUCUCAUUACAUAAACACGAAGUCAAGGAGGGCUUACAAAGAACGAGUGGUCCUUGAAGGUUGGCGUCUCUGGAGUGCCUUGGCUGUACAUGGACAUUCUCCUCUGGAGAGCAGAGGCCUUGCUCACGUUUCCAGUGGAGGGGGUCAGGUCUUCCACAUCAAAGGGGCUGCAAGCACACAGACAGGGAAAAAACAAGAGCGACAAAAAACACUGUUAGGCUGAUGGAGAAGGAAUUUCAGGUCUACAGAAAGGAUUUUUUUGAGAAGGGUGCUUAUUAGCACAUCAAAACUCAGAGGUGGCGUUGUUUUAAACUGAAGCGUUUAAAAGAAAGCAUUGUUAAUUAAGCAGCAGGCUCAGAAGUGCAGCUUUCAUUCCUGAUAAUAGCACUUUAUUCUCAGAAAUCAUUUAUGCAGCACUGCCUCCUUCUCAGAGAAGGGUAUUCUUGGAACUGAGUUGACAGGCAGCACGUGUGGUAACAAGGAAGGUGCUCAGCAGAGUUAACAGUAGCUAAUAGAGCUGUUGCAUUAUAAAGGAAAUCAGAUGCUGCCAUUGCUAGCUUCAUGUUUAUUGCAUUACAAGAAAUAGCAUACACGACUGUAAAAGUUACAAACAUUAACAUUACUUAAGAAAUGACAGUUACCUAUUUCAUUAAAACACACUGAGAAUUGAGUCUGUAUCCAAACGUUAUCAGCUUACCCACACUUAACACUGCAGACAGAGUGCUAAGAGACUUCCCACUGCCCUAAUGCCAUGUACAAAGCCCACAGACUCUAGCUUCCAAACCAUAUUUUUUCCCACAAAGAGAGAAGACACCACAUCGAUAGACCUCUUCUGUGUGGUUGAUUUUGAUUUAUUUUUCUUAGAACAGCCCCUUGACCCAGAGACCAUCCAACCAGUUCUACUUACUACCAGGUGAUUUCAAGGUUCAGCUUGAUUGUGCCAAGGUCGUUAAUGUCUACUGCAACCACCUGGGGCCGAGCUGCAAAUAGGUCUUUUGUUUCACAGGUAACGCUUCCUACAAGGAUGUGAGUAGCAAGGCCCUUCACUUCUGUCACCUUUAUGGAGAUCAGCCCAACAAUUAGAGGGAGGAAGACCAUUUCUUCUCCAUCCCAGCUUUGCUUGCCAUUCACUUCUAUUUUGCCUUUCAGUUUCCAUCGCUGGCGACCGUAACGCAUGAAAAUCUGAAAAAAAAGAAAAGUCCUCUUAUUAUCUUGAGAAAUAAGUUCUCUUAAUGCAAAAACAUUGGAAAGAGAAGAUCCUCAUUUGCCAGUUCUCUAACUCCUACAGCUUGAAGGGCGGCUAGGUGGGGUUUCGCCAUCCCCUGCUGAGAGGCCUCUGUAGCUGCAGGGCUUUGGCUGAUGAUGAAAACAGAGUGACAGUGGUGCAACACCUCAAACUGAGGUGGUGUGCUGGUGAGGCUGCCAUGGACUUCAGAGCUGGCUGGGUGAAACCAGCACCAACACUGGGCCUGCAGAGGCUUGCAGGUAUGAAAGCGGUGGGAAAAAUUGUUGAUAGCCAGAGUGGGGAAUCAAUGACCAAGACAGCUGUGAAGUGCAGGUUGUAGGGGGAAUCCAUAAUGAAGCUACUGCAAAUUCCCUGCAGGUGUAGCUCUGCCCUGGACAGAGUUGGAGACUUCUAAUCUAACCUGUUUCUAAGGAACCUGCUCUUGAUGUCCUCUAGGUCACUGCAGUGACCUGAGAUACUGACACAGCUUCACAGCAUGUAGCACUGGGGUCUCAAGAAAUGAUACUGUGUCUUUCUGCUCCAUCAAGAAAAGUCCAGUAUUCAGUAAAGAAUGUUUGCAAGGACCUCUCCAGCGAGCUGCAUACAUAGGGUGAGGCAUAUGCUUUAUUUCCAGAAGAAUUAGAAAUGCUUGUUGAGAACAAGGUGGUGAGAAGCAUGCCCUAAUUCUGGGAGACAUUUAAACACAAGAAAAAAGCCUUAUUUUCAUUUAAAAAAAAGUGUUGUAGUUCAUGGAAUAGCUAUCACCCAGUGCUCCAAAUAUAAUUUGCAGGUCUUGUGACAGAUGCUUUAACACAGGCAGAUAGAGAUCUGCGAUGCUUUUCAGGGAGCUUACAGGAGAAGUAGCAGCUGUUUCUUGGCAUGGAGAUGUCAGUGAGUUUUAUUCAAUGUGGAGUAAAAUGCGGCAGAAGUCCGCCUCCCUUUUAAUUCCCUUUCUGUUGAUCCAGAAGCCAAGUGCUACAUACCUCAUACUGAUCCCCAGGGCAGAGCCGAGCGAAGCCAGCCAGACCUGGGGAGAGAGACAGGGAGUGAGGGUCAGUGCAGAGGGACAGACCCCUGGGCCUACCCAGUAGCCACCAAGCUGUGACAGCAGAGGGCAGCAGCCCUGGCAGCCCACACUCUAUGGGGAGGACUGGUUUUUUUUCCCUUUGGUACAGAAAUUCAUCACGUAGUGGUUUUGUGCAUAUCAAAGACUCGCACUUCCCAGCUUUCGUUCCUCCAAGCAUAAUUCUCCCUUUAGUGUAAUAAAUAUAAAACAGAAGAAAUAGCUUCCUGACGUCAUCUGGCUUCAGAAGCUGAGCUUCAUGCUCUGACUAUCAGAACAUGUAGGCGAGCUGCUGAUUACCAUGCGGUGCUUGCAGGUUAACCCAAAUCAGCCCCAACUAUCUGUUCUAAUAAGUAGUCUGUGUUGUAACUUCUUAGUGGUAACAGUGAGGGAGAGGGACUGCUUCUGUAUGCAUAAUGUAAUCACUGCUGUACUACCCCAGUGUCUUUGAGAGCUAACUGCGUCAAGAACCACAAGUGAC
RNAcentral lists this long non-coding RNA (19528 nucleotides) under Gallus gallus (chicken). Lineage: Eukaryota; Metazoa; Chordata; Aves; Galliformes; Phasianidae. The record is from RNAcentral.